UGACUAGGGACUUGUGACUGGGUGCUGGCCAGCCAGCCCGCUUGCUUGCCUACGAGCCUUCCCUAGUCACGGACUGUCGCAUACCGAGAAUAAGUCUAAGUCAUGCACCGUGACUGACACAGCUCGGUUCAGGUGACCCACGAGCCUUCCCUAGACACGGACGUUGACUGGGAGCUCGUGAGUCGCGACUCGUGACUGGUGACUGGUGACUGGGGGCUCGUGAGUCGCGACUCUUGACUUGUGACUGGUGACUCGUGACUGGUGACUGGGAGCUCGUGCGUCGCGACUCGUGACUAGUGACUGGUGACUGGGGGCUGGUGACUGGGGGCUCGUGAGUCGCGACUCGUUACUGGUUACUUGGGGCUCGUGAGUCGCGACUGGUGACUGGUGACUGGGGGCUCGUGAGUCGCGACUGGUGGCUGGGGACUGGGGGCUGGUGACUGGUGACUGGGGGCUCGUGAGUCGCGACUGGUGGCUGGGGACUGGGGGCUGGUGACUGGUGACUGGGGGCUCGUGAGUCGCGACUCGUGACUGGUGACUGGGGUCUGGGGGCUGGUGACUGGUGGCUGGGGACUGGGGGCUGGUGACUGGUGACUGGGGGCUCGUGAGUCGCGACUCGGGACUGGUGACUUGGGGCUCGUGAGUCGCGACUGGGGACUGGGGGCUGGUGACUGGUGACUGGGGGCUGGGGGCUGGGGACUGGGGGCUGGGGGCUCGUGAGUCGCGACUCGUGACUGGGUGCAGGCCAGCCAGCCAGCCUGCUUGCCUGGGGACUGGGGACUUGUAACUUGGUGCUGGCCAGCCAGCCAACCAGCAGGCCUGCUUGUCUGGUGACUAGGGACUUGUGAC
This 849-nucleotide long non-coding RNA is filed under the name Cicer arietinum (chickpea). RNAcentral's name for it is "long non-coding RNA (CARI_LNC003134)". The record is from RNAcentral. Lineage: Eukaryota; Viridiplantae; Streptophyta; Magnoliopsida; Fabales; Fabaceae.